AUCCUGCCGGAGGACAUUGCUAUUGGGAUUCGAUUUAGCCAUGCUAGUCGAACGAGUUCACACUCGUGGCACAUAGCUCAGUAACACGUGGCCAAGCUACCCUUCAGUCAGCAAUACCCUCGGGAAACUGAGGCUAAUAGCUGAUACGAAACAGACGCUGGAAUGCACUGUAUUCCAAAGACACCGCUGAAGGAUGCGGCUGCGGCCGAUUAGGUAGACGGUGGGGUAACGGCCCACCGUGCCAGUAAUCGGUACGGGUGAUGAGAGUCAGAGCCCGGAGACGGAAUCUGAGACAAGAUUCCGGGCCCUACGGGGCGCAGCAGGCGCGAAACCUUUACACUGCACGAAAGUGCGAUAGGGGAAUCCCAAGUGCGAGGGCAUAUUAGCCCUCGCUUUUGUUGACUCUAAGGCGGUCAACGAAUAAGAGCUGGGCAAGACCGGUGCCAGCCGCCGCGGUAAUACCGGCAGCUCAAGUGAUGGCCGAUAUUAUUGGGCCUAAAGCGUUCGUAGCUGGCCAGACAAGUCCGUUGGGAAAUCCGCAUGCUUAACGUGCGGGCGUCCAGCGGAAACUGUCCGGCUUGGGACCGGAAGACCCGAGGGGUACGUCCAGGGUAGGAGUGAAAUCCCGUAAUCUUGGACGGACCACCUGUGGCGAAAGCGCCUCGGGAAGACGGAUCCGACAGUGAGGAACGAAAGCCAGGGUCUCGAACCGGAUUAGAUACCCGGGUAGUCCUGGCUGUAAACGAUGUCCGCUAGGUGUGACGCAGGCUACGAGCCUGCGUUGUGCCGUAGGGAAGCCGUGAAGCGGACCGCCUGGGAAGUACGUCUGCAAGGAUGAAACUUAAAGGAAUUGGCGGGGGAGCACUACAACCGGAGGAGCCUGCGGUUUAAUUGGACUCAACGCCGGACAUCUCACCAGCCCCGACAUCAGUAAUGACAGUCAUGUUGACGACAUCCACUCGAGCUGAUGAGAGGAGGUGCAUGGCCGCCGUCAGCUCGUACCGUGAGGCGUCCUGUUAAGUCAGGCAACGAGCGAGACCCGCACUCCUAAUUGCCAGCAGCAGUCUCGACUGGCUGGGUACAUUAGGAGGACUGCCAGUGCCAAACUGGAGGAAGGAACGGGCAACGGUAGGUCAGUACGCCCCGAAUGGGCUGGGCUACACGCGGGCUACAAUGGCCGGGACAAUGGGUCGCCACCUCGAAAGAGGGCGCUAAUCUCAGAAACCCGGUCGUAGUUCGGANNGAGGGCUGAAACUCGCCCUCNNNAAGCUGGAUUCGGUAGUAAUCGCCGUUCACCAGACGGCGGUGAAUACGUCCCUGCUCCUUGUACACACCGCCCGUCA
RNAcentral lists this ribosomal RNA (1343 nucleotides) under uncultured haloarchaeon. RNAcentral's name for it is "bacterial SSU rRNA". It matches the Rfam family "Archaeal small subunit ribosomal RNA". Lineage: Archaea; Methanobacteriati; Methanobacteriota; Halobacteria; Halobacteriales; Halobacteriaceae. The record is from RNAcentral.